UAGAGUUUGAUCCUGGCUCAGGACGAACGCUGGCGGCGUGCCUAACACAUGCAAGUCGAACGAGGUCCAAGGAGUGCUUGCACUCCUGAAGACCUAGUGGCGGACGGGUGAGUAACACGUGAGAAACCUGCCCCAGACUCUGGGAUAACCCAAGGAAACUUGAGCUAAUACCGGAUACCCUCCUGCGGUCGCAUGGCUGCUUGAGGAAAGUUUUUCGGUCUGGGAGGGUCUCGCGGCCUAUCAGCUUGUUGGUGGGGUAACGGCCCACCAAGGCUACGACGGGUAGCUGGUUUGAGAGAACGAUCAGCCACACUGGAACUGAGACACGGUCCAGACUCCUACGGGAGGCAGCAGUGGGGGAUAUUGCGCAAUGGGCGGAAGCCUGACGCAGCGACGCCGCGUGGGGGAUGACGGCCUUCGGGUUGUAAACCUCUUUCGCCAGGGACGAAGCGGAAGUGACGGUACCUGGAUAAGAAGCACCGGCCAACUACGUGCCAGCAGCCGCGGUAACACGUAGGGUGCGAGCGUUGUCCGGAAUUAUUGGGCGUAAAGAGCUCGUAGGCGGUCUGUCGCGUCGGUCGUGAAAACCUGCAGCUUAACUGUGGGCUUGCGGUCGAUACGGGCAUGACUGGAGUUCGGCAGGGGAGACUGGAAUUCCUGGUGUAGCGGUGAAAUGCGCAGAUAUCAGGAGGAACACCGGUGGCGAAGGCGGGUCUCUGGGCCGAUACUGACGCUGAGGAGCGAAAGCGUGGGGAGCGAACAGGAUUAGAUACCCUGGUAGUCCACGCCGUAAACGUUGGGCGCUAGGUGUGGGGGCCAUUCCACGGUCUCUGUGCCGCAGCUAACGCAUUAAGCGCCCCGCCUGGGGAGUACGGCCGCAAGGCUAAAACUCAAAGGAAUUGACGGGGGCCCGCACAAGCGGCGGAGCAUGUGGAUUAAUUCGAUGCAACGCGAAGAACCUUACCUGGGUUUGACAUGCACCAGACAUCCCUAGAGAUAGGGCUUCCCUUGUGGUUGGUGUGCAGGUGGUGCAUGGCUGUCGCCAGCUCGUGUCGUGAGAUGUUGGGUUAAGUCCCGCAACGAGCGCAACCCUCGUUCCAUGUUGCCAGCGGGUUAUGCCGGGGACUCAUGGGAGACUGCCGGGGUCAACUCGGAGGAAGGUGGGGAUGACGUCAAGUCAUCAUGCCCCUUAUGUCCAGGGCUUCACACAUGCUACAAUGGCAAGUACAGAGGGCUGCGAGACCGUGAGGUGGAGCGAAUCCCUUAAAGCUUGUCUCAGUUCGGAUCGGGGUCUGCAACUCGACCCCGUGAAGUUGGAGUCGCUAGUAAUCGCAGAUCAGCAACGCUGCGGUGAAUACGUUCCCGGGCCUUGUACACACCGCCCGUCACGUCACGAAAGUUGGUAACACCCGAAGCCGACGGCCUAACCCCUUGUGGGAGGGAGUUGUCGAAGGUGGGACUGGCGAUUGGGACGAAGUCGUAACAAGGUAACCGUA
This 1496-nucleotide ribosomal RNA is filed under the name uncultured bacterium. RNAcentral's name for it is "bacterial SSU rRNA". It matches the Rfam family "Bacterial small subunit ribosomal RNA". The record is from RNAcentral.